AUCAAUUGGACUGUGUCCUUUCAGAUGUUCACUGUUCAGCACACGCGCGCACAGCUGUGACGUUUUUCUGUGUUUAGCAAAACUGCUCUUGACAACGUCGCUGCUACCGCUGAGAGGAUUUUAAAAUCGUGAUCUGCCAUAUGCUAUUUUUCCUCAUUAAAACAUACAGCGACUGUAUGAGGAAUUAUAUUGCAACGCGUCUUCCGUUUUGAUGUUGUUUGUAAAAAAAUUAAUUUUAGUGCGAAUGAAGUCUAUAGGUGGAUGUUGCAUCAGGCACGUUACAGACGAAUUUAAACGGAUUUAACGGGUGUAUCUUGUACUUUUGAUGUAAAACUCUGGUUAGUGUAAUGAUCUCGGUGUACGGAUCGAGUGGUAGAUUAGCUGCGUCGCUGAUAUUCACGUUUGUCAGCGUGUUUGUAUUGUGUGAAUAUGUGAUUUAUUAUCCUGUUAUUCUGCGAUGCUCAUGGCCUCAUAUUGAGACUGUAAAUUCACACUUACCUUUACGGGCGUUAUUUCUCUCCGAUACUCACUUACUAGGGGCCAUCAAAGGACACUGGCUCGACAAACUCAGAAGAGAAUGGCAGAUGGAAAGGGCAUUCCAGACAUCUCUGUGGCUUCUAAAUCCAGAAAUUGUCUUCAUUUUAGGAGAUGUAUUUGAUGAGGGCAAGUGGAGCUCCAGUCAGGAAUUAUAUCCUCCGCUGGGUCCAGACGUUCUUCAAAAUGCAAACAUUCGUCAUCCGAGUCAUGUUCUUCCUCUGCAUCUUCCUCGCUGUCCAGAAUCAUCAGAAGUUCUUCUUCACCCGUGUAGCAUGCAAACGUGCAGACAAAAGUAAGUAAUUCUAUGAUGAAGCUUGACGUUUUAUGCCAUUUCUUAGGGGCGUGUACAUGAUUACCUGAAUCACCUCAGUUAAUUUCCAUUUGAACAGCGCGCUCAGAGCGAGGUGGGAACACAUUAUCUAUAAUGAGUCGAUACAGGAGAAACCGGACAACUCCUUGCUUUCAUACGGAUUACAUAAAAAUAGAUAAUUUUUUUGGUUAAUUCAAAAGUAGACAUUUCAAGCUCUCUAUGCAUAUAUUUAUCUUGUCUUUGAGGCAAGUAUUCGCUGAGAUUCGGGUUGUUUUAUUUAUGUGUCUGUGAAGAGAGAGUUAUCUGUACGAUCAAAACUGAAAGUGUAAUUUAAGUUCUUUUCGGCCUUUUCAGGAGAUUAUGCCACAAAACACGUAUCUGCGUUUGUCGGCCCCUAAGUGUUAAGCAUGCUUCACUUUGUCAGACAGGUUUUAAGUUAUUUCUUGAUUCAACAGGUCUGGCAGUAAUCAGGCCUUGAUGUGGCUAGUAAAAUUUAACUCAGCUUGAUGAUCUGAAUUUUUUUAAGUGUUACAAAUAUGCAAAAAAUAUAAAAAAACAGGAAGGGGGCAAAAACAUUUUCACGGCACUGUAGGUGUAUUCAUGGGUAUGUUGGAGGACCUUACUGUGCGUUCACACCAGACGCGACUUGCGCGAAGUUUGACGCUUGAACAUUUUGAGUUUACUCGCUUCAUUGGUGCGUCAAAUUCACUUCACAACAGACACAAAUUUGCGUCAUGGGAGGGGCUUCUGCCAAUUGAGUUCAAUCAGCAUUGUGAUUUCAACCACCAUUUAUUUGGAUCAUUUUCAAAAUAUUACUGUUAUCGUGUCAUGAAAUGUAAUUUUAAAAGUAUUUCAGGUGAGAACGUAGUUGUUUAAAACUCAAACAUGCGGUUUAUUUAUAAAGACAGCACCUAUUUAAAAAUGUGUUUCGCCGAUGUCGGAGACGAGCAGUUCCACUCGAUCAGCGGGAGCUCAGUGCUCAUGUCGGCUAGUCCUUCUGACAUUUGCCGCUGGCUCUGAUGUCUCUUUAGUGGUUAAACAUAAAAUAUAAUUCAUUUUGGGUAAAUCUAAUGGGUAAUCUUUGGUCUUUAUUCAAUUAAUCUAUUAAUAUGUUAAAGUGAAAAUAAAAAGAUGCAGUACUGUUUGAUAUAAUAUUUCGUUUCAUUUUAGGCUAUAGCCCUACACAUUUCUCUGAACUACACUUCUGCAGCUAUUAAUAUGUUUAAAUGAAAACGAAAGGAGACAGUGUAGUUUUAGAAAGAUAUUGGUUUUGUUUAGGUGUACAUGUUUAUCAGUGAUAGUGUGGAGGGUGUAAAUGUGGUCAGAUGUUCUGUGUUUGGGCUGAAAUCCAAUUUGACUUUUUUCCCAGAUUUUGUAGGUUUUGAGAAAGUUUUGUAAUCUUGUGUUAAUAAUCGAACAGAAUAUUUUCCCAGGGUUGCUAUUGACACACAUGCCUCUGUAAUUGUUUGGCUCAAACUUAAACAAGUCUCCUUGUUUAAAGAUGGGUCUAAUUAGGCCUUGAUUCCAGGUGUCUGGAAGACAUCCUACACUCAAACAAUGUUGAAUAAUUUGGUUAUUGCAGUUUUGAAUUUGUCAUUUGUAGGGCUGGACGAUAUGGCCAAAGUUUAUAUCACAAUAUAUUCGUAAUUUCGGUCGAUACGAUAGAAUUCCGAUAUCGAUAUGAACACUAUUAAAAAAGCCUCAUAAAAACUGCCAAGAAC
Long non-coding RNA from Cyprinus carpio (common carp), 2568 nucleotides. RefSeq lists it as uncharacterized. Lineage: Eukaryota; Metazoa; Chordata; Actinopteri; Cypriniformes; Cyprinidae. The record is from RefSeq and is a predicted model, not a curated record. The transcript has 4 exons.